This 3609-nucleotide long non-coding RNA is filed under the name Sus scrofa (pig). Its description in RNAcentral is "lncRNA (ENSSSCG00050006164.1)". Lineage: Eukaryota; Metazoa; Chordata; Mammalia; Artiodactyla; Suidae. The record is from RNAcentral.
GAUUGUUUCCAUGUCUUAUUUUUUAAGGAACUUUUCCACUGUUUUCCACAGUGGCUGCACCAAUUUACAUUCCCACCAACAGUUUAGGAGGGUUCCCUUUUUUCCACACCCUCUCCAGCAUUUAUUAUUUGUGGUCUUUUUGAUGAUGGCCAUUGUGACCAGUGUGAGGGCAUACUCAUUGUGGUUUUGGUUUGCAUUUCUCUAAUUGUCUGGUCCCUCUGUGUGAUUUCUCUCAAUUCUUGCCCACACGCAGCAAGGAUUUAGAGGUGUGGGCAGUCUGGCAGGGGGACUAUUCCGUCUGCGAAAUGUGGAGAUCACAAUCGAACUCAAAUGAUAGUAGUGUAUAGCAAAUUUUAUUUAUGCCCUCAGAGAGAGAGCAGGCCACCCUGGAGUACAGACUGGCUCUGGUCACAGCUGGGUCUUUCCUUAUAUCCGCAUACAGUGAAUGUAGUUGGGGACCUGAAUUUUCCUGCCCUGAGCCCCACUCAUUUUCCUGUCCCAGCCCUGCUGCACCAUCUCUAAGGGCAGUGUUGUUUGAUCUCUGUAUGAGGGUGCAUUUUGAUCCUCUGGUUGUUUUCAGGCUGGAUACCUUAUUAGCAUGAGGAACAGGUUAUAUAGAGGCAAGGUAAGGAAUGGGUGACAUUUCUUCCCUAACAGGGAGUGAGCAGCCCAGGUUGCUCAAGGUGGGGGAAGGGGUAUUACAAUGAAACCUGGUCAGUGGCUUUUGGGUUUGAUCUCCUUCAUGGGGACUUGAAGCCUAUAACAUGAUAAUUGGUGAUAUUGAGCAACUUUUCAUGUGUGUGUUGGCCAUCUGGUGUCUUCUUUGGACAUUGUCUGUUUAGGUCUUCUACCCUAAAAUGGGCAUAUUAAUGCAUGACUCCGUGGAGUUAUGGUAAGAAUUGACCAAAAUGGCCUUAGUGUUUCCCUCAACUUGACUAGAGUUUGGGCAGGCUUCUUUCUGCCCCUUGGCCCUUGACCUCACCCCAGAUAUCCUAUGAUCCUUGCCCCCCAUUCCACCUCUUAAAAACUCUACCACCCUUUGAUUCAUUGGAGAUAAGUUGAGAUUGAGUUAUGAAGAAAAAUGUGGAAGUCCUGACUAUUAUAAUACUUCCAGGAAUACAUAGACAGAAGAGAAUAUGUUCAGAGAAUUCUUGAUUUUCUUUUUCCAACAAAAGAAAAACUCAGGGGUAAAGGAGAGAAUGGGUCUUACACAAAACUUUGAGUUAUUCAAAACUCUGGCAAUGCAUCAUAAGCCAUGGGGUGGGCACUAAACUAAAAGCACCAAGAUUAAUAAUUUUCUGAGCCAAAGUACCUGAAGAAGUCAGAGGCCUCAGAAACCUGCUGAAGGGCACUGAGAAUAGAUCCAUUUUAUAAAAUUCCUUUAAAAGGCUACUGGUCCACACCCUUUUGUGCUUUGGAUUAUUCCCAGUGUUUACUGUAGAAAGGGAGAGAUUAGAGAUGAAAUAUAUAGUCAUAGUUAAUAUCUCACCUCCCUUCCAUCAUACCAAAAACAAACAAACCCAAACAUGCCUUACCUACCAACUUAGCUAUUUUCAUUUUCAUCUAUUCUUAAUUUGGGACUGGAGCUGUGGUCAGCAGGGGUUCAGUAAAUGAUUUUCCUCACAAUAGCACUGCUGCUCUCUGCCUCACUGCUUUUUUCCUUGAGGGCAGAGAUGUCUAGGAAUCUCAUCCUGGCACUAUAUUCCUUGGUUGUUGGUUUUCUUUGACUCCCCUCCUCUCCCUGACAGGAAAUAGGAGGUCCUAGGUGAUACUUUUUCCCCAGCUAUGGCUACCAUAGCAAUGAAUAUGCACUGGGGUAAGAUAAGCCGUGUUACCAGGCUGUAGAGUCUUCCUUCAAAAUAUUUGAUGGAUUAAUUCCCAGAAACCUGCUUGCUCUGAGAUAAGGAGUGUGUGAGAGUGUGGUAGAGGAGUGUGGGGGUGCAGAUGGUGGUGGCCAUUUCUCAUUCAGUCACAACUAUUGGCUGAAAAUUAUCAUUACAAACAUACGUGUCACACUAUUCAGGGUUACAGAAUGCCUGGGAGAGAACUGAUCUAGAAUGAGGGUAUAUAUGAUAAACAAUAGGUAUCAGCAGGAGAGAGAGGCAGCACUGGGCUCCCCCUGACCCCAGAGUCACGGUAUCUCUCUUUUUUAUCCUCUUUGUCAUAGUCAAGUUCAAAGAGAUUUAGCACACAGGGACACCAGGCUGUCAGCUGAAUCUUCACUUAGACUUGAACUUCCAGCCUGAAUCUCUUUAUGUUUCUCUAUGGUAAACCAGACUGGGCAAUACCAACAGUGACGGUUUGAAAAUUGUCUGUUUACCUUUAAUUUAUUCUGCCUUACUUUGUCCAUAAAUGCAUCUGUUUUUGUCAGAGCAGGCCCCAGAUGAGCUGGAUGCUCCUCUUGCUACUUUAAGCUUUCAGUUUCUAAGAGCCAGCUCACUCCUCUGUCCUCCUUCCUCCCCUCUCAGAAUACAUGCACACAUGGAAUCCUCUGUCAGCUCCUAAACAUUUUUAUAUUUAGAGUUAUUAACCUUAGUAUCCUGUUGCUAAACAUAUAGCUCCUCUGUUAUGAAGCCUAUGACUGGGCAAUAGCCUUCUUUGUAUUUGACUGAAGUAGGUGAUUAAGUUCUUGGUAGUGAAAAGUAAGAAAAUAUGUUGUAUAGAAAUCAUGGGAAGUCUCUUUCUUCCCUUCCACUUUUCUGAUACUGAUGCUUAAAAUGUGGCUGUGAUAGCUGGAACUCCAGCAGCCUUUUUGGAGUAUGAUGAUGAAGGCUACAUCCUAGCAAUCACAGAAAGAGUCUAUGUCUCUGGUGGACAUGGAGCUAUUAUUCUAGUCUGGUCCUGGACUCUUUCAUACUUUUUUUUUUUCUUGUGUGUAUGACAAAUAAACUCUUAUUAGCUAUUUCAUCUCCAGUUGGAAUAUUUUUAAAUCUUAUUUUAACUACAAUAUGUGAGCAUGUGCUAACAUGCUGGGUUUACUUUUCUCCUGUUGUUAUUCUAUUCUCCUGUUGUUAAAUUUCUGUGACAACUCCUAAUAUCUUUAUGUAUCUUCCUCUAUUUUAAAUUUUCCCUUAAAUAAACUUUAGUGGAAAUCACUGUUCCAGGAACUAUGCCAGGCUACUGGAAAACAAUGGUUAAUCUAUAAUACUUUAUGGCUGUGAGGCAUUCACCUGAACCCCUUUCCAAAGAAGUACAGGAGAGUGACAUCGGGUGAAUGUCACUACCGCCCAAAUCAGCUUUGCUCUUGGCAUAUAGAAAGAGUAGGCCUGUCUCUGGCCUUGAAAAAAAAAUGUAGUAUAAUAGAAAAGGAGAACAGAAAGGCUUAAAAUAAUGAAUGUUUAUAGGCAUCCAGGGAGAAUGAAAUUAGUGUUUCUUUUCUUUUCAGGCUUAUUGUUGAAAAAUUAAUAAUCUUCUGGAGGUCUGCUAUUAAAAUAGAAUUAGCAGUGACCUCAUAGAGAGCCCUAAAACUUACAAAUUGUGUUCCCUCUUGCCUUCACUGGUUGGGUGCAAUCCAAAGUGCGUCGAUUAUGAAUGGUCUAACUUUUGCAAAACAACUUUUCUUUUCUCUAAUUUUUGCAGUUGCUUUAAAAAAACAAAAAACAAAAAAAA